GCAGACACAUUCCAGCCAAUCAGCAGCAGACCCUCCCUCCCAGACCCUCCCACCUCUUGGACAGCUCACUUAGAAUGCACCUUUAAAAUGGAUGCUGUCCAGGAGGUGGGAGGGUCUGGGAGGGAGGGUCUGCUGCUGAUUGGCUGGAAUGUGUCUG
This 157-nucleotide microRNA precursor is filed under the name Pelobates cultripes (western spadefoot toad). Lineage: Eukaryota; Metazoa; Chordata; Amphibia; Anura; Pelobatidae. The record is from RNAcentral.